RNAcentral lists this ribosomal RNA (344 nucleotides) under uncultured Sphingobacteriales bacterium. Its description in RNAcentral is "bacterial SSU rRNA". It matches the Rfam family "Bacterial small subunit ribosomal RNA", at positions 1043 to 1382 of the family's 1533-position model. The record is from RNAcentral. Lineage: Bacteria; Pseudomonadati; Bacteroidota; Sphingobacteriia; Sphingobacteriales.
AGUUGGUUGUCGUCAGCUCGUGCCGUGAGGUGUCGGGUUAAGUCCCAUAACGAGCGCAACCCUUAUCGUUAGUUGCCAUCUGGUAAUGCAGGGGACUCUAGCGAAACUGCCACCGUAAGGUGAGAGGAAGGUGGGGAUGACGUCAAAUCAGCACGGCCCUUAUGUCCAGGGCUACACACGUGUUACAAUGGUCGGUACAGAGGGCAGCUACCUGGUGACAGGAUGCUAAUCUCGAAAACCGGUCUCAGUUCGGAUCGAAGUCUGCAACUCGACUUCGUGAAGCUGGAUUCGCUACGUAAUCGCGCAUCCAGCUAUGGCCGCGGUCCGAAUACGUUCCGGGCCUU